RNAcentral lists this ribosomal RNA (453 nucleotides) under Acanthamoeba jacobsi. RNAcentral describes it as "bacterial SSU rRNA". It matches the Rfam family "Eukaryotic small subunit ribosomal RNA", at positions 768 to 1093 of the family's 1831-position model. Lineage: Eukaryota; Discosea; Longamoebia; Acanthamoebidae. The record is from RNAcentral.
UAAAUGUUCAAGCAGGCAGACCAUUUCUUCUGCCACCGAAUACAUUAGCAUGGGAUAAUGGAAUAGGACCCUGUCCUCCUAUUUUGCGUGUUGGUUUUCGAGGACCGGGUAAUGAUUAAUAGGGAUAGUUGGGGGCAUUAAUAUUUAAUUGUCAGAGGUGAAAUUCUUGGAUUUAUGAAAGAUUGACUUCUGCGAAAGCAUCUGCCAAGGAUGUUUUCAUUAAUCAAGAACGAAAGUUAGGGGAUCGAAGACGAUCAGAUACCGUCGUAGUCUUAACCAUAAACGAUGCCGACCAGCGAUUAGGAGACGUUGAAUACAAAACACCACCGUUGGGUCGUGGCGGGCCGUGCCCCGCGGUCCGUCUUGCGCGGCGACACGUGCGGCGGCCACGGGGACCGCGGUCCGUAUCAGCCACCCGACGGCCCGGUGAAUGACUCCCCUAACAGCUUGUGA